This 490-nucleotide unclassified non-coding RNA is filed under the name Bombus terrestris (buff-tailed bumblebee). RNAcentral's name for it is "misc RNA ENSBTSG00005023958.1". Lineage: Eukaryota; Metazoa; Arthropoda; Insecta; Hymenoptera; Apidae. The record is from RNAcentral.
CACUUCCCCGCUGCGUAUAAUUGCACCGUUAAUGUCACCUCCCAAGGCGACGUCUUUAUGUUAAUAAGCAUCGCGGCCAUUCUUGCUCCUCCAAGCAGUCGACGUUCUCUCGAUUUUACGAGCAAACGAAAUAAAAAUCUAGCGUUCGUGAAAAGAAUUUUCCCGUCUUCCGCCCGCACUGCGUUCGCCAGAUGGCGUGUUAUCGCCGCGCUCUAUUCGAUCUUCUCGUACGACUGCACAAUUUUUUAUAAAAGUACGAUCGAACGGUAAAAAAGCAGUAAAUGUAAUAGAAAAAAGAAGAAGGUAGAAAAGACUACGAUCGUUCACAACACCGACACAUAAUUAGGAAGAGCACAAGAAUCAGGUUACACUGGACAUUACGUGCUGGGGCUUUGCUACGGUGAACGAUGUAUACGGAAAGAGAGCCGGUUGCUAACUGACGAUAACUGAUGCUUCGAUAGUCGAGCUAAGCUACGAGCUGCGAUCAUCU